GCUUGGGUGGCGGAAUGGUAGACGCUGAGGACUUAAAAUCCUCUGACCGUAAGGUCGUACGGGUUCAAGUCCCGUCCCGAGCACCA
RNAcentral lists this transfer RNA (86 nucleotides) under Puniceicoccales bacterium. Its description in RNAcentral is "tRNA-Leu". It matches the Rfam family "tRNA". From Rfam's summary of the family: Transfer RNA (tRNA) molecules are approximately 80 nucleotides in length. Their secondary structure includes four short double-helical elements and three loops (D, anti-codon, and T loops). The record is from RNAcentral. Lineage: Bacteria; Pseudomonadati; Verrucomicrobiota; Opitutia; Puniceicoccales.